AUCCAGAUGACGAGUCCCAAAUAGGACGAAAUGCAUAUCCUCAAU
RNAcentral lists this non-coding RNA (45 nucleotides) under Trichobilharzia regenti. Lineage: Eukaryota; Metazoa; Platyhelminthes; Trematoda; Strigeidida; Schistosomatidae. The record is from RNAcentral.